RNAcentral lists this long non-coding RNA (4647 nucleotides) under Olea europaea subsp. europaea. The record is from RNAcentral. Lineage: Eukaryota; Viridiplantae; Streptophyta; Magnoliopsida; Lamiales; Oleaceae.
CUAAACAUUGCAUAGUAUAGGAUUCUGUUCCCAUUUGCUGGUCUGAAAAUCCAAACAAUAGUGAGGGCUGAAAAAUUUCCAGCACUGGCAUAAUCUCAAUGCCAUUGACAAAAGCAAAAAGGUCAUUGUAUGUGGAUGACAUUGUCAAUGUGAGAUUGAGGAUACUGGAUUUUGUCGUCAUCAUAGUGAAAUCUCUAACUAUAUAAGCCUAUGUAAGUGCUUGAGUAGUAAUGGAUGCACUGAAAUUGUUAAGAAUGAAAUUACUUGUAGUUACAAAGAAAAAACUUAGGAGCGAUCAAAGAAAAUGUAAGACGAUGGGUAAAAUGAAGUCUCAUCCAGUAACGGAAAAUGGGAGAACAGAGAAUUUGAAAAAUUGCAGUCAUGUACGGAAUGGUGGAAGGCAAUGAAGAAUCUUGAGACUCAACAAUGGAGGACGCAGAGUUAUAUGAAGAGAUGAAAAUUUUGGUAUCGAGAAUGAAUGAUGAUGGUGCAAGCAAAGACUGAGAAUGAGGUUUUGUGAUCUAGGGCAAUAGAGACAGAACAAAAAUUAUAGGUGGAGGCAAAGAUGGUGGAGAAAUUGGUUGGGGUAGUUGGAUCAAUUUGGAGUUUUAAAAACCUAUUAAAUACUGUCUUAGGAGGUUUUACUUUGUUUUAGGGUACUAAUCUAAUUUGUUGCUUUUUUAGAGUAGAGGGCCUAAUUUCCUCUUUAGGAUUUCUGAUUCAUUUGUUCACGUAAUUCCAUUCCUGUAACCCCACCAUUCCUUUGCAAACCAUUUCAAAGAAUUUCCAAAAAUCAAAAAUUAAAAUCCCUAAAUCUUUACCUUGUCCCUACCCAUAGCCGCCGGCCGAAUGGAACCGCUGAUUGUCGACUCACUGUUGGCCCUUGAGUGACGGACUCUCACCGAUUCAUCGCCUCACGCCUGGCUGUCAACUUGGGUUAGGUUUUACGGUAAGCAAUCUGCGUUAUUAUGUUGAAAUUUCUAGGUGCUAGCAAUUUCUUGGGGAAAGAUGACCUGAUUAUAAUGGACCUCGACGGUUUGCCUUUAUGUUAUAAUUGCUUGCUGCAUUACAAUUGCGUUCUGGUUGUUGAGUAGUUAACAUAAUGUUGUCAAAAACUAUGCUUCGCCACUAUUUCUCUUUGCUAGUUAGUUCAGAAAUUACAAAUAGGCAUAAUCCUGUGUUGCUAUGGAACUGUGGGCGAGAAAUCUUAGAUGUUUCCUCACUAUUUAUAUACUGAAUCUUGUGUAAGAUCUGCGUUCUUUUAUUUUUAUAAAAUCAAUGAUAAUUUAAAUUUUAUAAAAAUGAAUAAGUUGAGUCUCUUGUAAGUUUGAUCGUGACAAUACUGUCUCUACUGGGAAAAUUUUAUUGUGCUUCCAUGUUUAUUUAAAAUUUCUUCAUCUUUGUGCGAGAUGGGUACCAUGGACUUCUCACUUUACCUCUAUUGGGAAUAUCACCCUUGCUAUUAAUCUGAUCAGGGAAUCCUAUCCUUAAUACCAAUUUGGCGUAAAAUGACAUUUUGUUGUGAAAUUUUGGCCUCCGACGAAUUGGUGUAAUGAAGUGUUGCAUGCACCAAAUCAGGUGCGAUGAUGUUCAUUUGGUGUAAUAUAGAGUUUUUAUUUAUUUAUUUUGGGCUUCAUUUUAUACUACAAAAAAAUUUUAUUUUGUUGCUUUACGUGCUAGUUAAUUUUAUUAGUGAGUUUGACAAAUGGAAUUCUUUUUUAAUAAAAUCAAUUAAUGGUAUUGAAGCAUUUAUUUAUUUAAAGUGGAAAUAUAACUGAGUGUGAGUAAAUGCAAUUGAUGGGAUUGAAAUUAUUAUUAUUAUUAUUUUCUUGCGUGUGGUUGCACCAAACAUAGUUAAUGUGUUGAAUUAUGAAUUAAAGUUGAAUGAGAAGCACCGAAAUGUGCAUGUGCUUUUACUAAAAUUGGGAGAUUGAAAAUUGAAAAAGAUCUCCAACUAAUUGAGUAUGCUUUGCAUAAAUACUUUGGUGGAAAAUUGCAUUUACUAUUUAUUAAUUUAUUGCUUUUCUUUAAGAAUGGGAUUAAACAGUAAAUGAACCGUUUAAUGAUUUAGUUGAUCUCUCUCAAUAAAGGAUUAAAAUUACUUAAUUAAGGUUGAUUAAUUAAGAUUUGAUUAUUAUGUUGACGAGGAAACGUCUUUUCAGCUAGAUAAUGACAUUCAAAUAUUUCUUGAUUUGACUGAUAAAUAAACAUUAGUCUAAUAUCAUAUGCUUGAAAAUUAUGCAAAACCUGGACAAGUUUUAGAGAAGAAAUUUGGGAAGUCUAUUCUUUUUGGAAAAAUGUGGACAAUAUUUCUCUAUCCAACUAUACUCAUGGACGUCUUCUAAGCUUUGGUUUUUUCACUUUUAAAUUGUUGGACAGUAGGAAAUCUUUGUCAUUUUUAAGCCAAUUGUUAAUAUUAAUAUUUAUUUAUGCAGAAUUAGUAAUUCUUAGUUUUUUGGGAUUUUUUUGUUUAAUUGUAGGUGAAGCAUUUUGAUUCUUAGAACUACUGUGCUACUUUUUUUUUGUCUAUGUUGCCCUGUCGACUUAACGAUUAUUGUUGUAAAAUUUUAUUUUGAUUGUCGUUAGAGCAAUAUCACUGAUUGAUUGAUUUAUUUGGCAAGGUGUACAUGCAAACGCAUACUUCUUCUUUGCCAAAGGAGAAUUGCUUUUAUACCUAAGAUAUAUUGCGGCAAUUUUCUUCUUUCUACUAUUUCACCGUUGUCCUGUUGAUAUCUGUUAGUUGGAACUUAAUCCUGCACGUCUAGUUUUUGAAUAUUGCGAUGUUCAGUGUUGGAUAGUAGCUUUGCGUAUGAUGGACAAAGAGUGGUUGCACUUAUCAAAGUUAUCAUCUGAAAUUAGAUCUUAUAAACCUAGUUACCAAAUGAAAAUAAUUUCAAUGUAUAAUGAUGAUAAAUAUAUACUCGUAGAUUUUCAAGACCAUAUAGCGAUGGAGCACAUAAUUUUAUUGAACGAGCUCAUAAAAAAUGCAAUUCAGAAAUGAUAGUAUGUCCUUGUGUUAAGUGUAGGAAUCAAAUGCAUCAUCAUUAUGAUACAGUCUAUGAACAUUUAGAAAUGAUAGUAUGUCCUUGUGUUAAGUGUAGGAACAUUUGGUUCAAUUAAGCAUAAUUUGAUUUAUUAGUUAUAUCACUUGCUAGUAUUUGAUUUGAGUUCCAUAAGUGCAGAAAAGGAUUGAAGAUUGUGCCACAUCAAUUUUCGAUAUGCUUGCCAAAGAUUCCAUCUGUGAUGAUGCUAUCACUUGAGUUUUAGGUCCUGAACAUCAUGGGAGACUUAGGGGACUCGGAUUUGGAGUUGUACCAUCAAAGGUGGAUGGACAAAUACAAAGUAGGGGAAGAGUUAGAGAACUUGAAAGCCAAUUACAGAUUCAAGCACAAAGGGUGGGGGCAUUAGAAGAAAAAAUGGAAGCAUUUAUCAAAUUUUCUCAGCAGGCUAUAAGUAGUUAUUUUUUAUAUAUUUCAUGAUUAUAUAGCUUUAUAUAGCCAAUUACAUGAAUAAUAAUUUUGUAAUUUUUGUAUCAUUAUACAGAAUGUGGAGGAUAGAAAUUCAAAUGCUUUUACUCAGGUUUCCGUUUCCUAUAUUAUUAAAUGUUUAUUUAAUAUAUAUUCAGUUUGUAGCAUUCUAAUUUUAAAAAGAAUACUUUCUGUUUAUUAUGAAUUUGUAGUCACACCAAGGAAGUACUACCCCCAAGACAAAUGCAAGAUGUCAACUGUUACAUUGGUACAUGUUUGAGGAGGAAUAAGUCGUCGCAGAAGGGAAGAUUGCCACAACAGACCCAAGUGCAAAGGUGCAUCACUCGCCACUCGAUCGAGACUGUUGAAUGGUUUGGCUUGAGGAAGUCUAUAUGGGUAAUUUGACUUCAUACAGACCCACAGAUGAAUUUCGCACUCUUAGUGAAGCCAUGGGAAGUAGUGUUGCUUGGCCAAAGAGUAGUAUUAGACAUAUUAAUUAAGGUAUAUUUUCUAGAUUUAUAACAUAUGCGCAUUCUAUUUAUGUUUUCUUUCCAUCUCAAAUAGUAUUUAGUGUUGGUUGGUUGGUACAUACGAAGUGGUUUCAUGUAAUUGGUUGGUUGGUUAGUGAGAUUUUGGCAGUGAUGAUUAAUAUGUUACUUGACUUAAUUCUUAGGUUUCAUUCAAUAAGUUUUUUUAUUAUUGAAUGGUUGAAACAUGAUUUCAUGCUGAGGCUAGAAUUCUUGCAGUGAGUAAUUUUUUAAUGUGUGGGCAACAUGAUUUUGUGCUAAGCCUGAAAUGCCUUUGUGAUUGUCUUAAUUUUUCACAAUUAAGUAUGUCUCAUUGAAAAGGAGAAGUUUUGCUAUUUGAAUGUUUAUUUGUUAUUUAGUGGUUGUUGGCUAAAAACACUUCUACAGAUCUCGUUGAUUGCAGGCCGAUCUUUCUCCAACAACAAGUUUCUUUUUCAAGUGAGAUUGAUGCAAGGCUCGUUGAAUAGAGAUUGUUCCAUUGGUAAUGGUAUUGAUUAAGUAACAUGAGACGGUUUCAAGAUUAAGUUUCGAUUUUUGUAGUUUCCUAAUUACAUUUUGGUAGUACAUGUUUGGAGACUUUUAAUUUAAUUUUGGAAAAGAUUAUGUGUUGAAUAUUUUACAAAAUUAAUGAGUGCAUGUUUCUUAGUUUAUUA